UGCUUGUCUUCAAGAUUAAGCCAUGUAUGUCUAUGCAUUAGCCACAUUAAGGUGAAGCCGCGAAACGCUCAUUACAACAGCCAUUGUUUACUAGAUCUUUCUAUCCUACUUGGAUAACUGCGGUAAUUCUAGAGCUAAUACACGCGAAAAGCUCCGUCCGCAAGCGACGACGCAUUUAUUAGAACAAAAUAAAUCGGGUCUUGGCCUGUGUUUGAUGUAUCUGAAUAACUCUGUUGAUCGUAUGGUCUCGUACCGACCACAAAUCUGUCAGGUGUCUGCCUAAUCAACUUUUGAUGGUAGUUUAUGUGACUACCAUGGUGGUAACGGGUACGGAGAAUAAGGGUUCAAUUCCGAAGAGGGAGCCUGAGAAACGGCUACCAUAUCCAAGGAAGG
Molecule: ribosomal RNA, 393 nt
Filed under: Southerniella sp. 9L22D15
Lineage: Eukaryota; Metazoa; Nematoda; Chromadorea; Araeolaimida; Diplopeltidae
Description: bacterial SSU rRNA
Rfam family: Eukaryotic small subunit ribosomal RNA
Source: RNAcentral